AGUGAACGCUGGCGGUAGGCCUAACACAUGCAAGUCGAACGGCAGCACAGUAAGAGCUUGCUCUUACGGGUGGCGAGUGGCGGACGGGUGAGGAAUACAUCGGAAUCUACUUUUUCGUGGGGAUAACGUAGGGAAACUUACGCUAAUACCGCAUACGACCUACGGGUGAAAGCAGGGGAUCUUCGGACCUUGCGCGAUUGAAUGAGCCGAUGUCGGAUUAGCUAGUUGGCGGGGUAAAGGCCCACCAAGGCGACGAUCCGUAGCUGGUCUGAGAGGAUGAUCAGCCACACUGGAACUGAGACACGGUCCAGACCCCUACGGGAGGCAGCAGUGGGGAAUAUUGGACAAUGGGCGCAAGCCUGAUCCAGCCAUACCGCGUGGGUGAAGAAGGCCUUCGGGUUGUAAAGCCCUUUUGUUGGGAAAGAGAAGCAGCAGGUUAAUACCCCGCUGUUCUGACGGUACCCAAAGAAUAAGCACCGGCUAACUUCGUG
This 491-nucleotide ribosomal RNA is filed under the name uncultured bacterium. Its description in RNAcentral is "partial 16S ribosomal RNA". It matches the Rfam family "Bacterial small subunit ribosomal RNA", at positions 29 to 507 of the family's 1533-position model. The record is from RNAcentral.